This 47-nucleotide non-coding RNA is filed under the name Schistosoma margrebowiei. Lineage: Eukaryota; Metazoa; Platyhelminthes; Trematoda; Strigeidida; Schistosomatidae. The record is from RNAcentral.
GUCUCGUUGAAGAGUCCCAUACAAAGGACGAAACGACCGUCCAGUAC